Molecule: ribosomal RNA, 313 nt
Filed under: uncultured prokaryote
Description: bacterial SSU rRNA
Rfam family: Bacterial small subunit ribosomal RNA
Source: RNAcentral
CCGAGAAUAUUCCGCAAUGGACGCAAGUCUGACGGAGCGACGCCGCGUGCAGGAUGAAGUCUUUCGGGAUGUAAACUGCUGUCAGGGGUUAGAAAUCUAAUGAUCAACCCCAGAGGAAGCAUCGGCUAAUUCCGUGCCAGCAGCCGCGGUAAUACGGAAGAUGCGAGCGUUGUUCGGAAUCACUGGGCUUAAAGCGCAUGCAGGCGGAAUGGGAGGCGCCUUGUGAAAGCCCUCGGCUCAACCGAGGAAUUGCUUGGCGAACCAUCAUUCUUGAGGCAGGUAGAGGCGACCGGAACCUUCGGUGGAGAGGUGA